AAGGCGGGCUGGAAUCUCUCGGGGUUACAGCCUUGCUGAAUUAUUCACCCUUGUCUUUUGCGUACUUCUUGUUUCCUUGGUGGGUUCGCCCACCACUAGGACAAACAUAAACCUUUUGUAAUUGCAAUCAGCGUCAGUAACAAAUUAAUAAUUACAACUUUCAACAACGGAUCUCUUGGUUCUGGCAUCGAUGAAGAACGCAGCGAAAUGCGAUAAGUAGUGUGAAUUGCAGAAUUCAGUGAAUCAUCGAAUCUUUGAACGCACAUUGCGCCCUUUGGUAUUCCAAAGGGCAUGCCUGUUCGAGCGUCAUUUGUACCCUCAAGCUUUGCUUGGUGUUGGGCGUCUUGUCUCUAGCUUUGCUGGAGACUCGCCUUAAAGUAAUUGGCAGCCGGCCUACUGGUUUCGGAGCGCAGCACAAGUCGCACUCUCUAUCAGCAAAGGUCUAGCAUCCAUUAAGCCUUUUUUCCACUUUUGACCUCGGAUCAGGUAGGGAUACCCGCUGAACUUAAGCAUAUCAAUAAGCGGAGGAA
RNAcentral lists this ribosomal RNA (530 nucleotides) under Alternaria sp. COIM-2. RNAcentral describes it as "eukaryotic LSU rRNA". The stretch from base 156 to 309 matches the Rfam family "5.8S ribosomal RNA". Lineage: Eukaryota; Fungi; Ascomycota; Dothideomycetes; Pleosporales; Pleosporaceae. The record is from RNAcentral.